RNAcentral lists this transfer-messenger RNA (352 nucleotides) under Nitrospiraceae bacterium. It matches the Rfam family "transfer-messenger RNA". Rfam says of the family: Bacterial tmRNA, also known as 10Sa RNA or SsrA, is named for its dual tRNA and mRNA-like properties. Its role is to liberate the mRNA from a stalled ribosome. To accomplish this part of the tmRNA is used as a reading frame that ends in a translation stop signal. The record is from RNAcentral. Lineage: Bacteria; Pseudomonadati; Nitrospirota; Nitrospiria; Nitrospirales; Nitrospiraceae. RNAcentral also lists the same sequence under 1 other name.
GGGGGCGAAAGGUCUCGACGGGGGUUAUGAGGCUCAGAUGGCAUGCCGUGGCUCCAUCACCACGUAAAAAGAUGGAACAAACACAAAAGCCAACAACGAACUGGCACUCGCCGCUUAAUAAAAAGCGGCAAGUCCAGCCGGGAAUGUCCGCGGCCCGGCCGGACUUAGAUAGCGGGCUGAAGCUUCCGGUUGGCCUCCUUCCGGAAGACGAAAAAUCAAACGGGGGGAUAGGCGAGCGCAUGGCGCGGCCGUUCGCAGGGCGCGAGCCGAAACUUCAAAUAGACGGCCUAAGCAUGUAGAAGUCUGAACGUAGUGCUUCCGGACGCGGGUUCGAUUCCCGCCGCCUCCACCA